This is a long non-coding RNA of Cotesia glomerata, 737 nucleotides long. RefSeq lists it as uncharacterized. The transcript is spliced from 4 exons. Lineage: Eukaryota; Metazoa; Arthropoda; Insecta; Hymenoptera; Braconidae. The record is from RefSeq and is a predicted model, not a curated record.
AGGCGAAAACACGCGCUUGUAAAAAUCAAACUCGUGUAAAUUUUGUUCUUUGGGACCCUAGAGAAGAGUUUCUCAAAGUUACACCAAAAUCUAAAAUGAGACGGCAACAAUUUCUUUUUUUUUGAGACGAUUUCAUAUGGAAUGACUCAUAUUUAUUAUGGUUAUAAGUGGCCACCUCAGGAUCUUUUUACAAAUUAUAUUCGAGAUAAGAGUUGAAUUUUCCGUCAGUAAGCUGUUCAUUCUUCUCGAGAUGUUUUCAUCGCCGAUCUCCAUGCCUCCAACGUCGGCAAAACCAGUCCCUGGUAUAUUCUUUCUUCAGGUGCCUGUUGUAGUUAUCAUAUCUCAUCUUCGUCGAGAUAUUCUUCAUCGAUUCUCUUCAGUUUUGAUCGCGCCGAAACGGCUUACAUUGACGUAGAUCGUGCUGAACUAAGGAAUGACGAAAAUGCACAUCCAGCGGUGGCUGCUGGCGGUUUUAUCUAUAAUUCUCAAAUUUGCCUGGCUUGUUCAGACGAGGAAUCACCACCAGACGUCGUCUACAACCCUUGCCGGCACUGUAUUUUUUGUCAAGCAUGUCAAAGACAGUACGUGCAAAGUCUGCUUGGAGAUGGGCAAAUUUUAACAUGUAGUUACUGCCAACAAGAGGUUGUCUCAGUUGACUUGCUUAUUUAAAAAUAUUAAUCCUCAUUACUUAUUAUGUCUUUAAUUUAAAUUUAAUUUUGUUAAAGAAACUUAAAUUU